This 651-nucleotide ribosomal RNA is filed under the name Klebsiella pneumoniae. RNAcentral describes it as "bacterial SSU rRNA". It matches the Rfam family "Bacterial small subunit ribosomal RNA", at positions 892 to 1533 of the family's 1533-position model. Lineage: Bacteria; Pseudomonadati; Pseudomonadota; Gammaproteobacteria; Enterobacterales; Enterobacteriaceae. The record is from RNAcentral.
GGUUAAAACUCAAAUGAAUUGACGGGGGCCCGCACAAGCGGUGGAGCAUGUGGUUUAAUUCGAUGCAACGCGAAGAACCUUACCUGGUCUUGACAUCCACAGAACUUUCCAGAGAUGGAUUGGUGCCUUCGGGAACUGUGAGACAGGUGCUGCAUGGCUGUCGUCAGCUCGUGUUGUGAAAUGUUGGGUUAAGUCCCGCAACGAGCGCAACCCUUAUCCUUUGUUGCCAGCGGUCCGGCCGGGAACUCAAAGGAGACUGCCAGUGAUAAACUGGAGGAAGGUGGGGAUGACGUCAAGUCAUCAUGGCCCUUACGACCAGGGCUACACACGUGCUACAAUGGCAUAUACAAAGAGAAGCGACCUCGCGAGAGCAAGCGGACCUCAUAAAGUAUGUCGUAGUCCGGAUUGGAGUCUGCAACUCGACUCCAUGAAGUCGGAAUCGCUAGUAAUCGUAGAUCAGAAUGCUACGGUGAAUACGUUCCCGGGCCUUGUACACACCGCCCGUCACACCAUGGGAGUGGGUUGCAAAAGAAGUAGGUAGCUUAACCUUCGGGAGGGCGCUUACCACUUUGUGAUUCAUGACUGGGGUGAAGUCGUAACAAGGUAACCGUAGGGGAACCUGCGGUUGGAUCACCUCCUUACCUUAAAGAA